This 606-nucleotide ribosomal RNA is filed under the name uncultured Flavobacterium sp. RNAcentral's name for it is "bacterial SSU rRNA". It matches the Rfam family "Bacterial small subunit ribosomal RNA", at positions 299 to 916 of the family's 1533-position model. Lineage: Bacteria; Pseudomonadati; Bacteroidota; Flavobacteriia; Flavobacteriales; Flavobacteriaceae. The record is from RNAcentral.
GGGGUCCUGGCGGUCGACGAUUCCUACGGGAGGCAGCAGUAAGGAAUAUUGGACAAUGGACGAAAGUCUGAUCCAGCCAUGCCGCGUGCAGGAUGACAGCCCUACGGGUUGUAAACUGCUUUUAUACAGGAAGAAACACUCCGACGUGUCGGAGCUUGACGGUACUGUAAGAAUAAGGAUCGGCUAACUCCGUGCCAGCAGCCGCGGUAAUACGGAGGAUCCAAGCGUUAUCCGGAAUCAUUGGGUUUAAAGGGUCCGCAGGCUGUUUUUUAAGUCAGAGGUGAAAUCCUGCAGCUCAACUGUAGAACUGCCUUUGAUACUGGAAAACUUGAGUUAUUGUGAAGUGGUUAGAAUGUGUGGUGUAGCGGUGAAAUGCAUAGAUAUCACACAGAAUACCGAUUGCGAAGGCAGAUCACUAACAAUAUACUGACGCUCAUGGACGAAAGCGUGGGGAGCGAACAGGAUUAGAUACCCUGGUAGUCCACGCCGUAAACGAUGGAUACUAGCUGUUCGUCUAACAUUGGUUAGAUGAGUGGCUAAGCGAAAGUGAUAAGUAUCCCACCUGGGGAGUACGGUCGCAAGACUGAAACUCAAAGGAAUUGACGG